This 1520-nucleotide unclassified non-coding RNA is filed under the name uncultured fungus. Its description in RNAcentral is "sequence contains 18S rRNA gene, ITS1, 5.8S rRNA gene, ITS2, 28S rRNA gene". The stretch from base 417 to 1520 matches the Rfam family "Eukaryotic large subunit ribosomal RNA", at positions 1 to 961 of the family's 3401-position model. The record is from RNAcentral. Lineage: Eukaryota; Fungi.
GGAAGGAUCAUUAACACUAUCGGUUUUUCAAACCGGAACCUCUAAACAACUUGUGAAACUGUAAACAGUCUAAUCAAUUUCCAAUCCAAACUAUCAAAACCGAACUAAAGUUUAAAAUAUCCAACCAAAAUUACAACUCUUAGCAAUGGAUAUCUUGGUUCCCACAACGAUGAAGAACGCAGCGAAAUGCGAUACGUAAUGCGAAUUGCAGAAUUCAGUGAAUCAUCAAAUCUUUGAACGCAAGUUGCGCUCUCGAGAUAUCCUUGAGAGCAUGCCUCUUUGAGUGUCGGUUUCUAAAUGUUCCGUUUUCGAAUGGAGUGACUGGGUUUUGAUCUGUGAUCAUGGCCGCAAAUGUACUCGGCAACCGCGUCGCUUCUUGGUCUCCAGGCAAACACGCAUCGCCCAACAAACACUCAAGAUCUCAAAUGAGGUAAGACUACCCGCCGAAUUUAAGCAUAUAAUUAAGCGGAGGAAAAGAAACUAACAAGGAUUCCCUCAGUAACGGCGAGUGAAGCGGGAAGAGCUCAAACCGAAAAUCACUGUCUCGGCAGCGAAUUGUGGUCUAUUGAAGCGUGUCUCAGUGUGUGGCCCCGGUCCAAAUCAAUUGGAACAUUGUAUCAGAGAGGGUGAGAAUCCCGUCCCUGGCUGGGUGUCCACCGCGUUCGAGCCGUUCUCAAAGAGUCGGGUUGCUUGGGAGUGCAGCCCUAAGUGGGUGGUAAAUUUCAUCUAAAGCUAAAUAUCUGUGGGAGACCGAUAGCGAACAAGUACCGUGAGGGAAAGAUGAAAAGAACUUUGAAAAGAGAGUCAAAAAGUACUUGAAAUUGCUGAGAACGAAGGGAUGGCAACUAGUACUGGCCGGAGUGAUUUUUCCUUCCGCAGCGUAACUUGGCGCGUUCGAAUUGCUUCUGCUUUCGUUCGCGUCAAAGAGAAACUGUGGAUGGGUCCUGUCGCUCUGGCCGAGGUCAGAAUGGGUUUGGUUCGGUCGAAAACGGCGCGGGGAAGGUAGCUUGGCCCUCGGGCUUUGAACUUAUAGUCCCGCGUCGCCACAUCGUCCCAGACCGAGGUGUCGAAAUGCGCGCUCUAAGCUGUGUUGGCGUGGGUGCUGUUGCAUUGGCGCUGUUGGGGAACAAUGUUCCGUCUCGGUUGCUCUUGCGCACUCGCUCACGUUCUCAUUGUCGCAUUCGGGAUUCUGACGAAAUGGUUGUCAUUCACCCGUCUUGAAACACGGACCAAGGAGUCUUACAUAUAUGCGAGUAAUCGAGUGGGAAACUCGUUUGCGGAAUGAAGGUGAAUGAAUGUGACCGGCGCUCUCGGGCGCUGGGCAACAUCGGGCGGCUAAAAUAUCUGUACGACCAUGAGCAUAUCUGUAGGGACCCGAAAGAUGGUGAACUAUGCCUGAGCAGGAUGAAGCCAGGGGAAACUCUGGUGGAAGUCCGAAGCGAUACUGACGUGCAAAUCGUUCGUCUGACUUGGGUAUAGGGGCGAAAGACUAAUCGAACUAUCUAGUAGCUGGUUCCCUC